AGUGGGAUGCUGGGUCAAAUGGUGGUUCCAAGUUUUCUGAGGAUUCUCUAUACUGCUUUCCAGAGUAGUUGCACCAAUUUGCAGUCCCACCAGCAAU
RNAcentral lists this microRNA precursor (97 nucleotides) under Marmota monax (woodchuck). Lineage: Eukaryota; Metazoa; Chordata; Mammalia; Rodentia; Sciuridae. The record is from RNAcentral.